AUUCNUUUAGUAUUAAUAAGUACAACUGACUUCCAAUCAGUUAGUUUUGGUCUAAUCCAAAAAAGAAUA
This 69-nucleotide transfer RNA is filed under the name Tragelaphus scriptus (bushbuck). RNAcentral describes it as "tRNA-Gly". It matches the Rfam family "tRNA". Rfam says of the family: Transfer RNA (tRNA) molecules are approximately 80 nucleotides in length. The record is from RNAcentral. Lineage: Eukaryota; Metazoa; Chordata; Mammalia; Artiodactyla; Bovidae.